CUAUUAAACAAGAUAAGAGUUUUUGGUGAAUGCCUUGGGUCUGGAAGUCGAUGAAGGACGUGAUUACCUGCGAUAAGCCUCGGUUAGUUGGAAAUAAACUGUGAUCCGGGGAUUUCCGAAUGGGGAAACCUAAUUGAGCUAAUCCUCAAUUAUCAUAUCGAUGAAUAAAUAGUCGAAUGAAGAGACACGCUGUGAAUUGAAACAUCUCAGUAGCAGCAGGAAGAGAAAAUAAAGAAUGAUUCCCUAAGUAGUGGCGAGCGAAAGGGGAAAAGCCCAAACCAACAUUUGUUGUUGGGGUUGUAGGACUACAUUUCAGAGUUACAAAAUUUGCAUAUAGCAGAAUAAGUUGGAAUGCUUAAACAAAGAGGGUGAAAUUCCCGUAAGCGAAAUAUGAAAAUCUCUUUGUAGUAUCCUGAGUAGGGCGGGGCACGUGAAACCCUGUCUGAAUCUGCCGGGACCACCCGGUAAGGCUAAAUACUAACCAGACACCGAUAGUGAACUAGUA
This 505-nucleotide ribosomal RNA is filed under the name Metamycoplasma canadense. RNAcentral describes it as "bacterial LSU rRNA". It matches the Rfam family "Bacterial large subunit ribosomal RNA", at positions 1 to 500 of the family's 2925-position model. Lineage: Bacteria; Bacillati; Mycoplasmatota; Mycoplasmoidales; Metamycoplasmataceae. The record is from RNAcentral.